Molecule: ribosomal RNA, 324 nt
Filed under: uncultured eukaryote
Lineage: Eukaryota
Description: partial 18S ribosomal RNA
Rfam family: Eukaryotic small subunit ribosomal RNA
Source: RNAcentral
CCCUUAGAUGUUCUGGGCUGCACGCGCGCUACACUGAAGCUAUCAACACGUUUUCCCUCCCUGAGAAGGGCGGGUAACCUUUUGAAUCAGCUUCGUGGUAGGGAUCGGGGCUUGCAAUUGUUCCCCGUGAACCAGGAAUUCCUAGUAGACGCGAGUCAUAAGCUCGCAUCGAUUAAGUCCCUGCCCUUUGUACACACCGCCCGUCGCUACUACCGAUUGAACGUUUUAGUGAGGCAUUUGGACCGACGCAUCUCAGUUUAACCGCUGGUUUGUGUUGGAAAGACUUCCAAGCUUGAGCGUUUAGAGGAAGUAAAAGUCGUAACA